CAGCCGCCACGGUAAUACGAAGGGUGCAAGCGUUACUCGGAAUUACUGGGCGUAAAGCGUGCGUAGGUGGUGGUUUAAGUCCGUUGUGAAAGCCCUGGGCUCAACCUGGGAAUUGCAGUGGAUACUGGGUCACUAGAGUGUGGUAGAGGAUAGUGGAAUUUCCGGUGUAGCAGUGAAAUGCGUAGAGAUCGGAAGGAACAUCUGUGGCGAAGGCGACUAUCUGGGACAACACUGACGCUGAGGCAAGAAAGCGUGGGGAGCAAACAGGAUUAGAUACCCCAGUAGUCCCUGUCUCUUAUAC
This 301-nucleotide ribosomal RNA is filed under the name uncultured bacterium. RNAcentral's name for it is "partial 16S ribosomal RNA". It matches the Rfam family "Bacterial small subunit ribosomal RNA", at positions 509 to 807 of the family's 1533-position model. The record is from RNAcentral.